RNAcentral lists this ribosomal RNA (396 nucleotides) under Streptococcus intermedius. RNAcentral describes it as "bacterial SSU rRNA". It matches the Rfam family "Bacterial small subunit ribosomal RNA", at positions 382 to 774 of the family's 1533-position model. Lineage: Bacteria; Bacillati; Bacillota; Bacilli; Lactobacillales; Streptococcaceae. The record is from RNAcentral.
ACUGACGAGCACGCCGCGUGAGUGAGAGGUUUUCGGAUCGUAAAGCUCUGUUGUUAAGGAAGAACGAGUGUGAGAAUGGAAAGUUCAUACUGUGACGGUACUUAACCAGAAAGGGACGGCUAACUACGUGCCAGCAGCCGCGGUAAUACGUAGGUCCCGAGCGUUGUCCGGAUUUAUUGGGCGUAAAGCGAGCGCAGGCGGUUAGAUAAGUCUGAAGUUAAAGGCAGUGGCUCAACCAUUGUAGGCUUUGGAAACUGUUUAACUUGAGUGCAGAAGGGGAGAGUGGAAUUCCAUGUGUAGCGGUGAAAUGCGUAGAUAUAUGGAGGAACACCGGUGGCGAAAGCGGCUCUCUGGUCUGUAACUGACGCUGAGGCUCGAAAGCGUGGGGAGCGAACA